UGAUAGUGUGACCCUCUUAAUGGAUUGAGGGCGAAGCGAAGCGGCUGGUUACCAGGCAAAUCCGGUAACCAUAAGGCUAGAUCGUGACAGGUAAGCGAAAUCUUAGGAAAGUAGCGAAGCACAUGAUGACGGCUUCCAGGAAAAGCUUCUGGCAAUGCAUAUGCGGCCCGUACCAAAACCGACACAGGUGGGCAGGGAGAGAAUCCCGAGGUGAGCGAGAGAACUGUUGCCAAGGAACUCGGCAAAAUGACUCCGUAAGUUAGCGAGAAGGAGUGCUUAAGCAAUUAAGCCGCAGUGAAGAGGCCCAAGCGACUGUUUAACUAAAACACAGCUCUCUGCGAAGUCGCAAGACGAAGUAUAGGGGGUGACACCUGCCCGGUGCUGGAAGGUUAAGAGGAUCUGUUAAGAGCGAUCUGAAGCAGUGAUCCGAAGCCCCAGUGAACGGCGGCCGUAACAAUAACGGUCCUAAGGUAGCGAAAUUCCUUGUCAGGUAGGUCUGACCCGCACGAAAGGUGUAACGAUUUGGGCGCUGUCUCGGCAGCAGACUCGGUGAAAUCUUAGUACCUGUGAAAAUGCAGGUUACCCGCAACUAGACGGAAAGACACCAUGGAGCUUUACUGCAGCCUGAUAUUGAAUUCUGGUCAUACAUGUACAGGAUAGGUGGGAGACAAAGAGACGUGCACGCCAGUGUACGAGGAGUCGACGUUGGGAUACCACUCUUGUGUGACUGGGGUUCUAACCUGGUAUCGAGAACAGGAACGGGAGAGUGUCAGGUGGGCAGUUUGACUGGGGCGGUCGCCUCCCAAAGAGUAACGGAGGCGCCCAAAGGUACGCUCAGAUUGGAUGGGAACCAAUCGUCGAGUGCAAUUGCAGAAGCGUGCUUGACUGUGAGACAGACAAGUCGAACAGGGACGAAAGUCGGGAAUAGUGAUCCGGCGGUGCCGAAUGGAAGGGCCGUCGCUCAACGGAUAAAAGCUACCCUGGGGAUAACAGGCUGAUCUCGCCCAAGAGUUCACAUCGACGGCGAGGUUUGGCACCUCGAUGUCGGCUCAUCGCAUCCUGGAGCUGGAUUCGGUUCCAAGGGUUGGGCUGUCCGCCCAUUAAAGCGGUACGCGAGCUGGGUUCAGAACGUCGUGAGACAGUUCGGUCCCUAUCUGUUGUGGGCGAAGGAGAUCUGCGGAGAGCUGUCCUCAGUACGAGAGGACCGGGAUGGACCUACCGCUGGUGCACCGGUUGUUCCGCCAGGGGCAUAGCCGGGUAGCUAAGUAGGGAAAGGAUAAGCGCUGAAAGCAUCUAAGCACGAAGCCUACUCCAAGAUGAGAUCUCCCAUUCGCAAGAAGUAAGACCCCUUAAAGACGAUAAGGUAGAUAGGCCAGGGAUGGAAGUGCAGUGAUGUACGGAGUUGACUGGUACUAAUCGGUCGAGGACUUAAUCG
Molecule: ribosomal RNA, 1435 nt
Filed under: metagenome
Description: bacterial LSU rRNA
Rfam family: Bacterial large subunit ribosomal RNA
Source: RNAcentral